Molecule: ribosomal RNA, 609 nt
Filed under: Triticum aestivum (bread wheat)
Lineage: Eukaryota; Viridiplantae; Streptophyta; Magnoliopsida; Poales; Poaceae
Description: partial small subunit ribosomal RNA
Source: RNAcentral
AUGGUCGAGCUGAACGAUUCUUGCAUAGCCCACCUUAAGUUCAUUCUCCUCUGUUUUGAGUCCUUGUAGGGGCUGAAAAUUAACUUCUCAAAGAGCGAGGUCAUUGUUACCGGCAUGGAUGACAAUGAGGCUGUGAGGGUGGCGCGCAUUCUCAACUGUAAGCCCGGAUCCUUUCCCUUCAAAUACCUGGGCCUCCCUAUCUCGCCAGAUAUGCUUCAUUCGAAAGACUUUGCUCCGGCUGUCACUAAGGUUGGCAAUAGGGUGCUCCCCUGGCGUGGUAGGUACAACACCAAUGCUGGGAAAGUGGCUCUGAUUAAUGACUGCUUGUCUUCCCUUCCUAUGUUCCUAAUGGGCUUCUAUCUUCUUUCGGCUGGUACCCAUGCUGGCUUCAAUAAGCAUAGAGGCGCGUUCUAUUGGAAUGCGGCAGAUAACAGGCGAAAAUAUAGGCUUGUUAAGUGGCAACUCAUGUGCAGGCCAAAAAACCUUGGGGGGCUGGGAAUCAUUAACACUUCCGUCAUGAACAAAUGCCUUUUGAUUAAAUGGUGGUGGAAGAUCAUGUCUAGUGGGGUUGGCUCCUUAUGCUAUAGGGCCAAUUCCAUUUCCCCCUAA